UACGUAGGGUGCAAGCGUUAAUCGGAAUUACUGGGCGUAAAGCGUGGGCAGGCGGUUUUGUAAGACAGAGGUGAAAUCCCCGGGCUCAACCUGGGAACUGCAUUUGUGACUGCAAGGCUUGAGUGCGGCAGAGGGGGAUGGAAUUCCGCGUGUAGCAGUGAAAUGCGUAGAUAUGCGGAGGAACACCGAUGGCGAAGGCAAUCCCCUGGGCCUGCACUGACGCUCAUGCACGAAAGCGUGGGGAGCAAACAGG
Molecule: ribosomal RNA, 253 nt
Filed under: uncultured bacterium
Lineage: Bacteria
Description: partial 16S ribosomal RNA
Rfam family: Bacterial small subunit ribosomal RNA
Source: RNAcentral